This 75-nucleotide transfer RNA is filed under the name compost metagenome. RNAcentral describes it as "tRNA-His". It matches the Rfam family "tRNA". From Rfam's summary of the family: Transfer RNA (tRNA) molecules are approximately 80 nucleotides in length. Their secondary structure includes four short double-helical elements and three loops (D, anti-codon, and T loops). The record is from RNAcentral.
GUGGAUGUGGGUCAGAUGGAUGACCACCGGCCUGUGAAGCCGAGGAGGCGGGAUCGUUGCCCGUCAUUCACCCCA